This 525-nucleotide ribosomal RNA is filed under the name uncultured bacterium. RNAcentral describes it as "bacterial SSU rRNA". It matches the Rfam family "Bacterial small subunit ribosomal RNA", at positions 355 to 896 of the family's 1533-position model. The record is from RNAcentral.
UGGGGAAUAUUGGACAAUGGGGGAAACCCUGAUCCAGCAAUGCCGCGUGGGUGAUGAAGGCCUUCGGGUUGUAAAGCCCUUUUGGCGGGGACGAUGAUGACGGUACCCGCAGAAGAAGCCCCGGCUAACUUCGUGCCAGCAGCCGCGGUAAUACGAAGGGGGCUAGCGUUGUUCGGAAUUACUGGGCGUAAAGGGCGCGUAGGCGGCCCCGCGCGUCGAGCGUGAAAGGCCUGGGCUCAACCCAGGAAUGGCACUCGAUACGGCAGGGCUAGAGUGCAGGAGAGGAUGGUGGAAUUCCCAGUGUAGAGGUGAAAUUCGUAGAUAUUGGGAAGAACACCGGUGGCGAAGGCGGCCAUCUGGACUGCAACUGACGCUGAGGCGCGAAAGCGUGGGGAGCAAACAGGAUUAGAUACCCUGGUAGUCCACGCUGUAAACGAUGGGCACUAGGUGUAGGAGGUUUUUAACCCUCCUGUGCCGCAGCUAACGCAUUAAGUGCCCCGCCUGGGGAGUACGGCCGCAAGGUUA